Peromyscus maniculatus bairdii (prairie deer mouse) is the source of this 293-nucleotide non-coding RNA. Lineage: Eukaryota; Metazoa; Chordata; Mammalia; Rodentia; Cricetidae. The record is from RefSeq and is a predicted model, not a curated record.
UGGAAAUCUCUCAUUUGACUCAUGCUGUGUUCAUAGCACCUGACUGCAGGCAGCAAUGAGGGCCAGCUGACUCCAGCUACAUAAUUGGACCAGCACAAAAGACAUGCCACAGAAAACGAAGUCAGAUUGGGAGUGACCUGAUCCACAGCAAAAGUUAACAAAGCAACAAAGGGUUAAAGGAACUUGCUGAAGGCCUCUUGGUACAACAGUGACAUGAAUGCCUGUAUUCUGCAACAGAAGGAAUCAUGAAUGAAUACAUAGAGAUCAACAUAGUAAGUAUGAUUUUUAAAAAA